CCUACGGUGGGCAGCAGUGGGGAAUAUUGCACAAUGGGGGAAACCCUGAUGCAGCGACGCCGCGUGAGUGAGGAAGUAUUUCGGUAUGUAAAGCUCUAUCAGCAGGGAAGAAAAUGACGGUACCUGACUAAGAAGCCCCGGCUAACUACGUGCCAGCAGCCGCGGUAAUACGUAGGUGGCAAGCGUUAUCCGGAUUUACUGGGUGUAAAGGGUGCGCAGGCGGAGGCACAAGUCAGCGGUAAAAUCCCGGGGCUCAACCGCGCUCCGCCGUGGAAACUGUGUCCCUUGAGUGCGCGAAGGGUAGGCGGAAUGCGUGGUGUAGCGGUGAAAUGCAUAGAUAUCACGCAGAACUCCGAUCGCGAAGGCAGCCUACCGGCGCGCAACUGACGCUCAUGCACGAAAGCGUGGGUAUCGAACAGGAUUAGAUACCCCAGUAGUC
Molecule: ribosomal RNA, 439 nt
Filed under: uncultured bacterium
Lineage: Bacteria
Description: partial 16S ribosomal RNA
Rfam family: Bacterial small subunit ribosomal RNA
Source: RNAcentral